This 230-nucleotide unclassified non-coding RNA is filed under the name Hevea brasiliensis (rubber tree). Lineage: Eukaryota; Viridiplantae; Streptophyta; Magnoliopsida; Malpighiales; Euphorbiaceae. The record is from RNAcentral.
AAAAUCUGCAAGCUUAGGCUCUGCAUAUCCGGGGAAGAGACAUCGUCAUGUUGCAGCUCGAGGGUAUUCGUAUUGUCAGCCUGGCUGAGCAAUAUCCCGGGCCCUACGCGACGCUUCUGAUGGCCGAUCUUGGGGCCGACGUCAUCCUCGUCGAGCGUCCGGGCAUCGGAGAUCCCGCGCGGCAGUUUCCGGCGUUCCACGCCGCGCUCAAUCGCAACAAGCGCUCGGUG